RNAcentral lists this long non-coding RNA (1547 nucleotides) under Linum usitatissimum (flax). RNAcentral's name for it is "long non-coding RNA (LUSI_LNC004241)". Lineage: Eukaryota; Viridiplantae; Streptophyta; Magnoliopsida; Malpighiales; Linaceae. The record is from RNAcentral.
GAGUUAGGAGGCAAGGCAGUCAAAAAGAAACAAGGAUCAUAUAUGGGUUCUGGGCAUCCCGGCGGCAUAAACAUAAGAUGAUAUAUAUGCUUUGGCUUUUCUUCGGAGGGAUCGGAUUGGGAGACAUAUGUUCUCCUUUUUGCUUGAAAAACCGAGUUUUAGUCGAAAAAGAAAAGACACAUGAAAGAAAACUUAACAAGUUUUGAUGUGACAUUUUCAUUGAAUUCGGUAAGAGGGGUUAGGAUCUUAGCGGUCUUGAGGCUUUGGUUUAACUGGUACGUCAGAGAUCAAACUGUAGCUCGUUCGAUUUUGCUCCCUGCUGCACCUCUCCUGAUUUCUUCGGUGAUUUCGACGGCUUCCAACCAUUCGAAGAUUCAGCAUCCAUCGGGCCAUCAAGCACUGCGUCAUUAAUACGCCUCUUCCUUUCAUUAAUGUGGAGGCUGACACGUUAAGGGUCUUCAGGUGUCGGGAGUGCUAUUUGCUUGUCCUUGUCCCAAUGAUUUGCUCCCAUGCAUAUGACAAGCUCAUGCACGUUUCUAGAAGGGGUUUCGCUCUACCAAUUCCCAUGCUUCCUCGACCUGUUAGAGGCAUGUCUUCCCAAACUAUUAGUCAGAGUUUUUCGCCCUCGUCAUCACUUCCCAGUUGGAUUCCGCCCUAAUGGAGUCAUCCCAGCGUUGAACUAGAUGUUUGCUGAGUAGCGUAAUCGUAGCUUGCAUUUUUCUCAACAUGGCCUAUAACUCCCCAAAUGUAGCAGAAAUUUUGGAUCCUUUCAUACAUGAAUUGACAGGUUAUCUCACGUUUGCCGUGCAAGGUGACAACCUGUUCCUUCUUUAGUGGGACUCGAGCAUCUAUGAGAACUCGGAUACGCAUGUACUCCUCGAGUUGGUAAAUCUUGUUCUUCUCGUCAUAAUCCAUGUAGCUCCCGAUGUAGUUCCCCAUUGCCUCGUCGACCGUCUCAGAGAAGUAUCCAAAGGGCAGGUUGUGAACCUGCACCCAUAAUGUUGCCAUCUUGAGUGGGACUUAUUGAGAAAUCUCCUCCUAGCGGAGCUCAUGUGAGAGCAACAACAUGCCAUCUAUGCUCCAUGGGCCGUUGUUGAUCACGUGGACUACAUCGAUGAAGUGAUUGAAACGGAAUAGGAAAAGUCCCCUCUCCAAGGCGAUGAUCUCCACCCCUCGUCCCGGUUGACAGAUCUCCGGCAUCGUGCGACGAAUGACGUUGAGGUUCGCCUCUUUUUUUGGUGAGGAAGGAGCCGACCACACAUAGGUGGUAUUCUCAGGUCGGCGGUUCCUUGAUCAGCUCGGCGAGAGCCAUCGCCGGCGGUGAUGGUUCGUCCAGGUUUAGGGCAGCAAUCUGUUCUUCGAACGUGGCAGUGGUGGGCGGAGUAGUGGUAGUAGAUGUUGUGGUUGGAGGUGCAAAGGUGAUGAUGGUGGUGGCGGAGUGCAUUGGCGGCACGGGAGGGCUAGUUAUAGCCUCGACAAGCUCCAUGGAUAGGGUGGUGUUUAGGGAAAUUGUUUUGCAUGUUUGGAGAUUGGCUGUUGGGAUUUCA